Molecule: ribosomal RNA, 443 nt
Filed under: uncultured bacterium
Lineage: Bacteria
Description: partial 16S ribosomal RNA
Rfam family: Bacterial small subunit ribosomal RNA
Source: RNAcentral
CCUACGGGAGGCAGCAGUGGGGAAUAUUGGGCAAUGGGCGCAAGCCUGACCCAGCAAUGCAGCGUGAAGGAAGAAGGCCCUCGGGUUGGAAACUUCUUUUAUCAGGGAAGAAGGAUGUGACGGUACCUGAUGAAUAAGCUUCGGCUAACUACAUGACAGCAGCCGAGGUAAGACGUAGGGAGCAAGCGUUAUCAGGAUUUACGGGGUGUAAAGGGCGCGUAGGCGGGAUGGAAAGUCAGAUGUGAAAUCCAGGGGCUCAACCCCUGAACUGCAGUUGAAACUGUCGUUCUUGAGUGCUGGAAGGGUUGACGGAAUUCCUGGUGUAGCGGUGAAAUGCGUAGAUAUUAGGAGGAACACCAGUGGCGAAGGCGGUCAACUGGACAGCAACUGACGCUGAGGCGCGAAAGCGUGGGGAGCAAACAGGAUUAGAUACCCCAGUAGUC